RNAcentral lists this long non-coding RNA (1276 nucleotides) under Gossypium barbadense (sea-island cotton). RNAcentral describes it as "long non-coding RNA (GBAR_LNC009945)". The record is from RNAcentral. Lineage: Eukaryota; Viridiplantae; Streptophyta; Magnoliopsida; Malvales; Malvaceae.
UCGAUUUAAAAAUUUAAAGGGGUAAUCGACUUUUGAAAAACAAAUGCAUGGAGUCGUCACUGAUCGUUUGUUUUGGUGUGAUCGGAUCACCUAAAAAUUUGGUUAUUUUAAUAAAACAUUUAUGAUUUACUAAAACAACAAUUUUGGUCUACAAAAAUUUUAGAAAACGGGCUCGGGAGUCGGUUACGCAUGAGGAAGGAUUAGCACCCUCACUACGCCCAAAAUUGGUACCAAAUCGAUUAAAUACUGUCCUUAUGUCUAAAAUUAAAAAUGUUUUUGAAAUGUGGCUUUUUUAAUAAAAGUUGAAUAACCCGAGUUAAUUGUCAAAAAUCUUCUUGUUUCGAUGUCUGGAAAUUUAUAAUUCGAAAAUCACGAAAGGAUGCACAACCAACGAAAAAUCGAAACCUAGCACAGUAGGGCACGAUUCUUCGAAUUCCCAAACAUUGAUCAUUGCCUCACUUUGGAAAAUACGAGUGAAAUCCCGGAGAGAUAUUUGAUUAUUUCGGUCAGACGGGAGAUUGCAACCCAGCACGAUAGGGUACUAUUUCCCGAACUGCCCAAACAUCAAACACUUCUUUCGUUUUAAAGGGUUUUUAGAAAACGUGGAUGAAACUUCAAAGGGAUCUUCGAUUGCUUAGAAUAAAUGAAAAAGCGCAACCCAACACGAUAGGGCACGAUUCUCAAAUAUCCAAUCAUCGAACAUCCUUUGUUUUGAAAGGUUUUUAAUAAGCAUGGGUGAAAACCUAAAGGAAUAUUCGAUUGUUUUUGAACAAACGAGAAAUCACAACCCAGCACGAUAAGGUAUGAUUCUCGAAUCAUCAAACACCGAGUAUUGCCUUUAUUUGCGAAAAAUCUUAUUUCGAGGUAACAACAUGUUAUACCCGGUAAGUUAGGGCACCACACCUCGUAUCUCCAAAAAUAAACAUUUUUUUUAAACUCACAUUGUGAUUAAAAGGAAUAUUCCAUUAUUUAGGUUAAAUAAGAAAAAUCGAAACCCAGUAAGUUAGGGUACGAUUAUCUCGAAUUAUCUAAUACGGAAUAUUACUUUUAUGAAAGAAUUGUUUUAAUAUAUUGAGUAAGAAAAAUAACGUGAUUUAUAGUAAAACAUAAAAGCAAAUUAUAAUAUUAAUAUGAAUAAUAACAUUAUAGGUGCGACAGUAUCAAAAACGAUAAUAUGAGUAAUUAUAAAAGAUGAAGUAAUAGCAAGACUAGUAAUAUGUAAAUAUAAACAAAUGCAUGAGGAAAAUAAAAUGAUCGAAGACAUAAGCAAAUUAAC